Molecule: long non-coding RNA, 243 nt
Filed under: Gossypium barbadense (sea-island cotton)
Lineage: Eukaryota; Viridiplantae; Streptophyta; Magnoliopsida; Malvales; Malvaceae
Description: long non-coding RNA (GBAR_LNC003337)
Source: RNAcentral
CAGUUCACCAGCAAUGAUACAAGUCAUUCAUGAACAUUGUAGGAUUAAUCUAAAGUGGGAAAUAUGCCCAUAAAUUUUCGUAUUGCAAUUACCAGAGUCUCGGUGGGCAUCCAUGCCUUUUUCUUUCCGUCUUAUCCGGGUCCACUCAAAAAGACAACAUAUGCAAUGAAAAUUCGACGGUGUAAUACAUGCUGCUUCUACAAUAAACCAUCAUUUCCCAUCUUUAAUAUCUAUAUAUAAAAU